CGAUGUCUAGGGGUUCUGAGAGGAUGAUCCCCCACACUGGUACUGAGACACGGACCAGACUCCUACGGGAGGCAGCAGUGAGGAAUAUUGGUCAAUGGGCGCAAGCCUGAACCAGCCAUGCCGCGUGAAGGAUGAAUGCCCUAUGGGUUGUAAACUUCUUUUGUAUGGGAAGAAACCUUCUAACGUGUCAGAAGCUGACGGUACUGUACGAAUAAGCAUCGGCUAACUCUGUGCCAGCAGCCGCGGUAAUACGGAGGAUGCAAGCGUUAUCCGGAUUUAUUGGGUUUAAAGGGUGCGUAGGCGGAUCAUUAAGUCAGUGGUGAAAUCUUUCGGCUUAACUGGAAAAUUGCCAUUGAUACUGAUGAUCUUGAAUGCAGUUGAGGUAGGCGGAAUGUGUAAUGUAGCGGUGAAAUGCUUAGAUAUGACACAGAACGCCGAUUGCGAAGGCAGCUUACUAAGCCAUUACUGACGCUGAGGCACGAAAGCGUGGGGAUCGAACAGGAUUAGAUACCCUGGUAGUCCACGCCGUAAACGAUGAUCACUCGCUGUUUGCGAUAUACAGCAAGCGGCUGAGCGAAAGCAUUAAGUAAUCCACCUGGGGAGUACGGUCGCAAGACUGAAACUCAAAGGAAUUGACGGGGGCCCGCACAAGCGGUGGAGUAUGUGGUUUAAUUACGCGAAGAACCUUACCAAGGCUUGACAUCCCGUGACAGCCAUGGAAACAUGGUCUUGCAAGUUUACUUGCACACGGAGACAGGUGGUGCAUGGUUGUCGUCAGCUCGUGUCGUGAGAUGUUGGGUUAAGUCCCGCAACGAGCGCAACCCCUACAGCUAGUUGCCAGCACAUAAAGGUGGGAACUCUAGCAGAACUGCCGUUGACAAAACGGAGGAAGGUGGGGAUGACGUCAAAUCAGCACGGCCCUUAUGUCCAGGGCUACACACGUGUUACAAUGGCCGAUACAAAGGGCAGCUACCAGGUGACUGGAUGCUAAUCUCUAAAGUCGGUCUCAGUUCGGAUCGAAGUCUGCAACUCGACUUCGUGAAGUUGGAUUCGCUAGUAAUCGCGCAUCAGCCAUGGCGCGGUGAAUACGUUCCCGGGCCUUGUACACACCGCCCGUCAAGCCAUGGAAGCUGGGGGUGCCUGAAGUCCGUAACCGCAAGGAGCGGCCUAGGGUAAAACUAGUAACUGGGGCUAAGUCGUAACAAGGUAACCA
Molecule: ribosomal RNA, 1213 nt
Filed under: uncultured bacterium
Lineage: Bacteria
Description: bacterial SSU rRNA
Rfam family: Bacterial small subunit ribosomal RNA
Source: RNAcentral